Molecule: long non-coding RNA, 314 nt
Organism: Vidua macroura (Pin-tailed whydah)
Lineage: Eukaryota; Metazoa; Chordata; Aves; Passeriformes; Viduidae
Exons: 2
Source: RefSeq, a predicted model, not a curated record
AGCAGUGGCUCAGUGGCAAGCUCUGCUGCAGGAAGGAAGGCAAUGCCAGGCACGGGCACAGGCACAGGAGAUGCAGCCAGCACCACAGCACCUGUUCCAGAUUCCCAGAAGGGCAUCGGAAGGGGUUGCCAUUGGGAAGCACGCUGUUUGCUGCAGUUAAUGGCAGAUGUGCUUUUUUUUUGUCUUUUCUUCCUGUUGUUCUGUGUUGGAAUCUGGUGCUUCUGGAAGAUAAUACAGUGAGUGUUUUUAUCCUCUUUCCCUCAAACAGCUUCUUUUACAAGUCUAAUAUAGAUGGGAAACAUUCCCCGAGAGGC